This 194-nucleotide ribosomal RNA is filed under the name uncultured bacterium. RNAcentral describes it as "partial 16S ribosomal RNA". It matches the Rfam family "Bacterial small subunit ribosomal RNA", at positions 338 to 524 of the family's 1533-position model. The record is from RNAcentral. RNAcentral also lists the same sequence under 2 other names.
CCUACGGGAGGCAGCAGUGGGGAAUAUUGGACAAUGGGCGAAAGCCUGAUCCAGCCAUGCCGCGUGUGUGAAGAAGGUCUUCGGAUUGUAAAGCACUUUAAGUUGGGAGGAAGGGCAUUAACCUAAUACGUUGGUGUCUUGACGUUACCGACAGAAUAAGCACCGGCUAACUCUGUGCCAGCAGCCGCGGUAAU